Molecule: long non-coding RNA, 211 nt
Filed under: Elaeis guineensis (African oil palm)
Lineage: Eukaryota; Viridiplantae; Streptophyta; Magnoliopsida; Arecales; Arecaceae
Description: long non-coding RNA (EGUI_LNC037143)
Source: RNAcentral
GCCAAUUAUCUUAACUCUAGAAUGUCGAAGACUUGGUCUAGAAGUAUUUAUACUGCAAUCAAUUUAAUUACCAAAUCUACUCACUGGAUAGCUAAACUACCAAGUCAAUUAAGGGUGCAUUUAGUUCAUGAUUGGAAUCAAAGUUAGAAUGGAUUGAAAUGAGAAUCAGAAUGAUCGUAUCUUUCGACAUGUUUGGUUUAUUAUAAGAAUC